RNAcentral lists this ribosomal RNA (1431 nucleotides) under uncultured bacterium. Its description in RNAcentral is "partial 16S ribosomal RNA". It matches the Rfam family "Bacterial small subunit ribosomal RNA". The record is from RNAcentral.
CUGGCUCAGAACGAACGCUGGCGGCAGGCCUCAUACAUGCAAGUCGAGCGGUCCUUCGGGACAGCGGCGAACGGGUUAGUAACGCGUGGGAACGUGCCCUUUAGUACGGAAUAGCCAUUGGAAACGAUGAUUAAUACCGUAUACGCCCCAAGGGGGAAAGAUUUAUCGCUAAAGGAUCGGCCCGCGUUAGAUUAGGUAGUUGGUAGGGUAAUGGCCUACCAAGCCUACGAUCUAUAGCUGGUUUGAGAGGAUGAUCAGCAACACUGGGACUGAGACACGGCCCAGACUCCUACGGGAGGCAGCAGUGGGGAAUCUUGGACAAUGGGCGCAAGCCUGAUCCAGCCAUGCCGCGUGAGUGAUGAAGGCCCUAGGGUCGUAAAGCUCUUUCGCCUGUGAUGAUAAUGACGGUAGCAGGUAAAGAAACCCCGGCUAACUCCGUGCCAGCGGCCGCGGUAAUACGGAGGGGGUUAGCGUUGUUCGGAAUUACUGGGCGUAAAGCGCGCGUAGGCGGAUUAAUAAGUCAGGGGUGAAAUCCCGAGGCUCAACCUCGGAACUGCCUUUGAUACUGUUAAUCUUGAGUUCGAGAGAGGUGAGUGGAAUUCCGAGUGUAGAGGUGAAAUUCGUAGAUAUUCGGAGGAACACCAGUGGCGAAGGCGGCUCACUGGGCCACUAUCGACGCUGAGGAGCGAAAGCUAGGGGAGCAAACAGGAUUAGAUACCCUGGUAGUCCUAGCUGUCAACGAUGGAUACUAGAUGUAGGAAUUGGAUUGACGAUUUCUGUAUCGUAGCUAACGCGUUAAGUAUCCCGCCUGGGGAGUACGGCCGCAAGGCUAAAACUCAAAUGAAUUGACGGGGACCCGCACAAGCGGUGGAUCAUGUGGUUUAAUUCGAAGAUACGCGAAGAACCUUACCGGCCCUUGACAUACCAAUCGCGGACUUAAGAGAUUAAGUUCUUCACUUCGGGUGGAUUGGAUACAGGUGCUGCAUGGCUGUCGUCAGCUCGUGUCGUGAGAUGUUGGGUUAAGUCCCGCAACGAGCGCAACCCUCACUUUUAGUUGCCACCAUUUAGUUGGGCACUCUGAAAGAACUGCCAGUGAUAAGCUGGAGGAAGGUGGGGAUGACGUCAAGUCCUCAUGGCCCUUACGUGUUGGGCUACACACGUGCUACAAUGGCAUUGACAAUAGGAAGCAAGACGGCGACGUCAAGCAAAUCCUAAAAAGAUGCCUCAGUUCGGAUUGUACUCUGCAACUCGAGUACAUGAAGCUGGAAUUACUAGUAAUCGCGGAUCAGCGUGCCGCGGUGAAUGCGUUCCCGGGUCUUGUACACACCGCCCGUCACACCAUGGGAGUUGGUUCUACCUUAAGGCAAAGGUUAAAAUCUUUGACCACGGUAUAGUCAGCGACUGGGGUGAAGUCGUAACAAGGUAGCCGUA